This is a small nucleolar RNA of Cynara cardunculus var. scolymus (artichoke), 101 nucleotides long. RefSeq annotates it as small nucleolar RNA Z122. Lineage: Eukaryota; Viridiplantae; Streptophyta; Magnoliopsida; Asterales; Asteraceae. The transcript has a single exon. The record is from RefSeq and is a predicted model, not a curated record.
UUUGGAAAAUGAUGCUAAAAGAUAUCGAAUUAUGUUAUCAUAGGCAUAUAUUAUGUGCUGUGCUGAACGAAAUUCUAUUUGCACGUCAGUCUGAUUCCAAA